Molecule: ribosomal RNA, 460 nt
Filed under: uncultured bacterium
Lineage: Bacteria
Description: partial 16S ribosomal RNA
Rfam family: Bacterial small subunit ribosomal RNA
Source: RNAcentral
CCUACGGGUGGCAGCAGUGAGGAAUAUUGGUCAAUGGACGAGAGUCUGAACCAGCCAAGUAGCGUGAAGGAUGACUGCCCUAUGGGUUGUAAACUUCUUUUAUAUGGGAAUAAAAUGUUCCACGUGUGGGAUUUUGUAUGUACCAUAUGAAUAAGGAUCGGCUAACUCCGUGCCAGCAGCCGCGGUAAUACGGAGGAUCCGAGCGUUAUCCGGAUUUAUUGGGUUUAAAGGGUGCGUAGGUGGAUUGUUAAGGCAGUUGUGAAAGUUUGCGGCUCAACCGUAAAAUUGCAGUUGAAACUGGCAGUCUUGAGUACAGUAGAGGUGGGCGGAAGUCGUGGUGUAGCGGUGAAAUGCUUAGAUAUCACGAAGAACUCCGAUUGCGAAGGCAGUUCACUGGACUGCAACUGACACUGAGGCUCGAAAGUGUGGGUAUCAAACAGGAUUAGAUACCCUUGUAGUC